CAGUCGCCGCGGUAAUACGUAGGUGGCAAGCGUUGUCCGGAAUUAUUGGGCGUAAAGGGCUCGCAGGCGGUUUCUUAAGUCUGAUGUGAAAGCCCCCGGCUCAACCGGGGAGGGUCAUUGGAAACUGGGAAACUUGAGUGCAGAAGAGGAGAGUGGAAUUCCACGUGUAGCGGUGAAAUGCGUAGAGAUGUAGAGGAACACCAGUGGCGAAGGCGACUCUCUGGUCUGUAACUGACGCUGAGGAGCGAAAGCGUGGGGAGCGAACAGGAUUAGAUACCCCCGUAGUCCCUGUCUCUUAUAC
Molecule: ribosomal RNA, 301 nt
Filed under: uncultured bacterium
Lineage: Bacteria
Description: partial 16S ribosomal RNA
Rfam family: Bacterial small subunit ribosomal RNA
Source: RNAcentral